Molecule: non-coding RNA, 2237 nt
Organism: Lolium perenne
Lineage: Eukaryota; Viridiplantae; Streptophyta; Magnoliopsida; Poales; Poaceae
Source: RefSeq, a predicted model, not a curated record
GGGAGGCGUGCUCCAUCCCGUGGUCCUCCCCCCUCUCAACCACCUGCUCCUCCCUCCCCUCUUAAAUCCCAUCCGCGCAGAAGCAAACCCUAGCCUUCCCCUCUUCCUCCCCUCGGCGCCGCCAACCCUCUUCUCCUUUUCUCUUUCUCUGUGAGCACCACCGUGAGCUCCUCCACGGUGUUUCGUCGUCUCCGGCCUCCCCGCGCCAAGCCAACGCCACCGUUCGACGCGCCUCGUCCUCCUCUUCAACCUAGUGCAAGGAAUCGAGCCGGCAUCCAGUAAAUCGAGCGUAGUUCGCCGUUCCCUUCUCCGUCUCUGGCGCGGUUUCUCGCCGAUUCCGGCCGCCACGCUCUUCCCCGGCCUCCGGCGACCGCACCGUGUCGACGCCGGCGAGCUCUCCGGCGACCGCCGUCAACGGCACCGCCUCCUCCUGACCCGCGCCGGCGAGGCCCACCCGGCGCACACCCGCACGCAUCCGGGGAGGCCCUGCAACGCCGCUCUUUUCGUCGCCGCCCGCGGUGACCGCCCACUUCUGGAACGCGCUCCGCGUCGAACACCUCAUGGGCGUGCGCGCAUGGUUCGCCAGCGUGGCAUCCACGUCGACCCCCUUGGCCCCACCUGUCAGCGUCCGAGGCUAGGCCCUCCUCUGCAUUUGCUUCUUCCCGGAUAGGAUCACGAAGUGGUGAUGUGAGAUACGACGAGUGCUCCGACAAGUUCUUCUGCAGCUUUUCACAGGCGAGCCCACCCCUUCACCUAUUUUACUUUUACAUGCUCUUUUGAUCUAUUGCUAUCCUUAUGUUGCGAUUCUGUUGUGUCACGUGUCCUAUCCACCUGUUACCUAUAUGUCCGAGAUACACCUCCUCGCCCUACCUAUUGUUUGUUGUUUGCCAGCUUUGCGAGUCGUAGGCGUGUUUAGGCUCUGUUGUUUAUCUCGAUCUGGUAUCGGGAUAUGUUGGGUUGUUGGGAGGUUUUCACAUGAUAUAUCAUUUGUUGGAGAUACACAUGCUUUAAUUUAAUUGUUAACAACUAAAAUUGUAAGCAGAGGCAUCUGUGAGCCCCUUUGCGAAAGCAUCGGAACUUUGACUUGCUAAUGUCCCCUAGGACCCGAGUUCUUGUUAUCUGUUCCGAGAUUGAGCGCUCUACCCGUACGUGGGGGAAUGGGACCCCCAUCACCCACUACCUUUCCUCGAGUCUGUUUAUUGGGAGCCACAACCUUGGUUUUAUUUGCUCAUAUGCACGAUGCACGAUUUACUUCUGUUGCCUUCGGGUGUUUAUAUUCUGUUCUGUACUCAUAUCGUGGAACGAUUAGCGAAAGCAGGUUGUUCACACUUAGCUUAGCCGUUGGCACAAACCUCUGGGUCCGUAUCGGAGUACGGCCGAACGUCGUCACGGGUAGCUUAGUGGGGUGGCUCCCAUUAAACUUUCUCUUGCAUUGGGAACGGUCUUGAUGUGAGACUCCACCUGUAGUAAGUGGGUUCGAGCAUGCGUAUGGUUACAUUUGGGCAACCCCUGCAGGGUGUACAUCUUAUCGAUAAGCCGUGUCCGCGGUUAUGGACGACUUGGAAUUGUAUGGCUUGAUCAUAGGACAACUUACACCUUAUACUUGUUGUUAAUAAUCUGAUAAUAACUUGUGUAGUAAUAUAGCAUUACCACAACCGAUACCUAAUAAAAUUUGUCCACCGUUGAGUGCCUUUUACAUUGCCUCUUCGCUUUGUUGAAGGGGAUAUGUGUAAUCGGCUGGGUUAUGUUUGUGUAGUAUUUAUCUGUUACCUUGUGCGCUCUCUUAUCUUCUCUGAGUAGACGGAUGUUGUAGCGUGUCUCUAUUGGAUAGUAGCUUUGCUGCCGCUAAACCCCACAUAUAGCCGGGUGAAGUUUAUACCGCCCACCAGCGAGCAUAGCUGGUCUUGUCUCGCAAGUACGUGCCAAUGGUACUUACCCUCGCCUUCCUUUCUUUUUGUCUCCUCCCCCUUUUGUCGGCAACCGAUGGCCCGACUUCGACAGGUACGAGAUGACGACGUUAGCAAGGUUACCCUUCCGGCUUGGCCUGGGCAGGGUUAUGGACGCCACUGGUUAUCUUCAGGACUCUUAGUCCAAUUUGUAUCUUGUCCGUACUCGGACGUAUUUGAUCUUCUGUAUGAUUUGGAUCUUUGUAUUGUAUAUUUGUAUCUUGACUCGUUGGAGUCGUUGUUGUAAUAUAUGUAUCUUGUGGGCUCUAUUGUAAUCCUGUUGUAAUGUUA